AGGGCGGCGAAGCGCGCCCGCCCUGGAACCGCCGGUUUCCUGCGCUUCCCGAGGUGAGACCCCCCCCUGCCCGGUGCUGCUGCGCCUGCCCGCUGAGUCUCCGGGCAGCGCCCUCCGCUGCGGAAUGAGUUGGAAGGAUUUUUCACAGAGGGUGAUGGAGUUACAUCGGAACCCCUUGCUGGAUUCUUCAGUGCUCUGGUGUGACGUUGUCCUGGCUGAAGCUGAACCUCUGGCCUUGCUCACAGGGAAAUGGGGAAGGUGGAAACAGGAUGCACCUCACAUGGACAAACUGGAGAGGCAUGAAUAAACGUACUCCUUCCAGAGAUGUGAGCAGAAAUGAAGAAGCCAAUAAUGGAUACUGAUGAAAGCAGACUAGCAACACCACAUCCAGGCAUGAAGGAACAAAGGGAAGAAAGGACCUUAAUGGAACCCGGGGACAGUGGGGCCACUCAGCAGGAGCUGUAGCCUAGAAGGUCUGCAGGCCAUACUGGAAUUGUGAAGACAAAGUAAGGAAGGGGUAGAAGAUAAAUGCCUCAUCCUCACUCCUCCCUCUGGAUGGACUCUCCUACUGGUAACUCCUAGUGGUCAAAUCCAACCAGGAGCCCACUCUGAUCAGGGCCAGCCUCCCAGUGCUCAGAGAAGGGCAAGGAAGAGAAGAACGGCAGAUAAAACAACAUAUAGGGUUAGAGAAGGGGCAGAAACAUAUAGGAAUGUCUGUCCAGAGACUUAAGAGAUUCCAGACAUGUUAGCCUGAGCUAACAGAAAUAUGAAAGACAGUUUGUGAGACUCUGGGCCUAGGCAGAACUGCUUUGUGGGUCAGCCAAGGAAGCGUAGCUGGAUUUGGAGAGAAGACCAUUCGUUCCGUCCAGCCUUGGAGUCCAGCAGAGCUCUUGCGUUUCAAGGACCAUAAAUGCUGGAGGCAUCAGAGAAUCUGGGGCACGGACAUUAGAGAUCUUGUGCCACUCUGUGGGAAGAAGAUUUUGCCAACCAGGAGCGUGUGGUGGCUGCAGCUGAUGGUCCCGUGUCUGGACUCACAAGAGGAAGGCUUCCUGGCCCUCAGCUCGGGGGACUGGAGCAAUCAUAAGUCGCUUAAUAAAAACAUACGUAGUA
Molecule: long non-coding RNA, 1110 nt
Organism: Prionailurus viverrinus (fishing cat)
Lineage: Eukaryota; Metazoa; Chordata; Mammalia; Carnivora; Felidae
Exons: 3
Source: RefSeq, a predicted model, not a curated record